This 82-nucleotide transfer RNA is filed under the name Araneus ventricosus. It matches the Rfam family "tRNA". Rfam says of the family: Transfer RNA (tRNA) molecules are approximately 80 nucleotides in length. Their secondary structure includes four short double-helical elements and three loops (D, anti-codon, and T loops). Lineage: Eukaryota; Metazoa; Arthropoda; Arachnida; Araneae; Araneidae. The record is from Rfam by way of RNAcentral.
GGAGUCGUUGCCGAGUGGUUAAGGCGAUGUAUUCGAAAUCCAUUGGGGUUUCCCCGCGUAGGUUCGAAUCCUACCGGCUGCG